CUUCCGAGUUUGCUUCUCAGAACCAAGAGGGGCUGGCUCUGCGCCCUGCCUACCUGUCCAGGGGUGGGGGCUGCCCUUUGAAGCUAUCAAUCUGGGUUUUAAGUGUGGAUUCAUUAUUGACAACACCAUGACGUUAUGCUGACAUGAAUUAUUUGUAUGUUUUUCAAAUUGUGCUGUGAUAACCCUGGCUGUCUUCCUGCUCCCAUAGUGGAUAAAAGCGUCCGAAAGAAUGCCGCCAUCUCUCUUCUCCCCACAGCCUGGAGCUGGGCCAACCGGAACUCAGCCACCACCUGUGCUCGGUGCAGCCUGGUUUGACCCCCACCCUCCUCCACCUGGCUGGGAUGGUCCCCCAAAGAACGGAGGGACUCCG
This 370-nucleotide long non-coding RNA is filed under the name Homo sapiens (human). RNAcentral's name for it is "non-protein coding lnc-TMEM250-2:10". The record is from RNAcentral. Lineage: Eukaryota; Metazoa; Chordata; Mammalia; Primates; Hominidae.